This is a long non-coding RNA of Brassica rapa (field mustard), 558 nucleotides long. RefSeq lists it as uncharacterized. The record is from RefSeq and is a predicted model, not a curated record. Lineage: Eukaryota; Viridiplantae; Streptophyta; Magnoliopsida; Brassicales; Brassicaceae.
GAAACAAACAGCUAAAUCCAUUACAACGAAUAUGCUAUAACUUUGUCACGAAGGUAAAUAUGAUCAACUAGCAAUUAAAUAACAAAAAUUAAUAAUUUUUGCCUUUGUUUCUUCACGCUGAAGUCAGCAAAAGCUGUUAUAAACACACCAAUUUUCUACGUUCAGACAAAACAAACGAAGCUGGGAUCCGGUCUCCGAAGGAUGGUGAAAAAUUCAGCUGUUAUGAUGGUGGUUACUUGAGAAGCGGAAGAGUCUCCCGUGGGUUAUUGCCGGAGCUAUAUUCCAGUAACAUUGCUCUUUCAUCCUCUGUCUCCAGAAACUCCUUCUCCUUCCCCAUCUGUAAGAAAUUUAUUUGUUUCUGCCAAUAGAGAUACUAAAUACUAAACAAGUAACCUAAAUCUUAAAAGCAUGGAUUCUUGGUUCCAUUUUUCCUUUUUAAAUAUCCAGAUGACCAUCAUCAAUUUUCUUUACUAAAUCUGUUAGAAAUUUCCUCACAUACUACAAAACAUUAUCUAGGGUUUUUCUUAUAAACAGUUAUAUGCAAGUGUAUCUACCUAA